This 584-nucleotide ribosomal RNA is filed under the name Trichoderma asperellum. Its description in RNAcentral is "eukaryotic LSU rRNA". The stretch from base 216 to 369 matches the Rfam family "5.8S ribosomal RNA". The record is from RNAcentral. Lineage: Eukaryota; Fungi; Ascomycota; Sordariomycetes; Hypocreales; Hypocreaceae.
UCUCCGUUGGUGAACCAGCGGAGGGAUCAUUACCGAGUUUACAACUCCCAAACCCAAUGUGAACGUUACCAAACUGUUGCCUCGGCGGGGUCACGCCCCGGGUGCGUCGCAGCCCCGGAACCAGGCGCCCGCCGGAGGAACCAACCAAACUCUUUCUGUAGUCCCCUCGCGGACGUAUUUCUUACAGCUCUGAGCAAAAAUUCAAAAUGAAUCAAAACUUUCAACAACGGAUCUCUUGGUUCUGGCAUCGAUGAAGAACGCAGCGAAAUGCGAUAAGUAAUGUGAAUUGCAGAAUUCAGUGAAUCAUCGAAUCUUUGAACGCACAUUGCGCCCGCCAGUAUUCUGGCGGGCAUGCCUGUCCGAGCGUCAUUUCAACCCUCGAACCCCUCCGGGGGAUCGGCGUUGGGGAUCGGGACCCCUCACACGGGUGCCGGCCCCUAAAUACAGUGGCGGUCUCGCCGCAGCCUCUCCUGCGCAGUAGUUUGCACAACUCGCACCGGGAGCGCGGCGCGUCCACGUCCGUAAAACACCCAACUUUCUGAAAUGUUGACCUCGGAUCAGGUAGGAAUACCCGCUGAACUUAA